Molecule: ribosomal RNA, 428 nt
Filed under: Chloroflexota bacterium
Lineage: Bacteria; Bacillati; Chloroflexota
Description: Chloroflexi bacterium partial 16S ribosomal RNA
Rfam family: Bacterial small subunit ribosomal RNA
Source: RNAcentral
UGGGGAAUAUUGCACAAUGGGCGCAAGCCUGAUGCAGCCAUGCCGCGUGUAUGAAGAAGGCCUUCGGGUUGUAAAGCACUUUCAGCGGGGAGGAAGGCGAUAAGGUUAAUAACCUUGUCGAUUGACGUUACCCGCAGAAGAAGCACCGGCUAACUCCGUGCCAGCAGCCGCGGUAAUACGGAGGGUGCAAGCGUUAAUCGGAAUUACUGGGCGUAAAGCGCACGCAGGCGGUCUGUCAAGUCGGAUGUGAAAUCCCCGGGCUCAACCUGGAACUGCAUUCGAAACUGGCAGGCUAGAGUCUUGUAGAGGGGGGUAGAAUUCCAGGUGUAGCGGUGAAAUGCGUAGAGAUCUGGAGGAAUACCGGUGGCGAAGGCGGCCCCCUGGACAAAGACUGACGCUCAGGUGCGAAAGCGUGGGGAGCAAACAGG